GACGUAGGGUGCAAGCGUUAAUCGGAAUUACUGGGCGUAAAGCGUGCGCAGGCGGUCUGUUAAGACGGAUGUGAAAUCCCCGGGCUCAACCUGGGAACUGCAUUCGUGACUGGCAGGCUAGAGUAUGGCAGAGGGGGGUGGAAUUCCACGUGUAGCAGUGAAAUGCGUAGAGAUGUGGAGGAACACCGAUGGCGAAGGCAGCCCCCUGGGCCAAUACUGACGCUCAGGCACGAAAGCGUGGGGAGCAAACAGG
RNAcentral lists this ribosomal RNA (253 nucleotides) under uncultured bacterium. RNAcentral's name for it is "partial 16S ribosomal RNA". It matches the Rfam family "Bacterial small subunit ribosomal RNA", at positions 524 to 776 of the family's 1533-position model. The record is from RNAcentral.